Molecule: ribosomal RNA, 253 nt
Filed under: uncultured bacterium
Lineage: Bacteria
Description: partial 16S ribosomal RNA
Rfam family: Bacterial small subunit ribosomal RNA
Source: RNAcentral
UACGAAGGGAGCUAGCGUUGUUCGGAAUCAUUGGGCGUAAAGGGCGCGUAGGUGGUUCUGUAUGUCUACCGUGAAAGCGUACGGCUCAACCGUAUUUUGUCGGUGGAAACUGCAGGACUUGAGGCUGGGAGGGGCUGGUGGAAUUCCCUGUGUAGCGGUGAAAUGCGUAGAGAUGGGGGAGAACACUCGUGGCGAAGGCGGCCAGCUAGACCAGUUCUGACACUGAGGCGCGACAGCGUGGGGAGCAAACAGG